Molecule: ribosomal RNA, 470 nt
Filed under: uncultured Pelotomaculum sp.
Lineage: Bacteria; Bacillati; Bacillota; Clostridia; Eubacteriales; Desulfotomaculaceae
Description: bacterial SSU rRNA
Rfam family: Bacterial small subunit ribosomal RNA
Source: RNAcentral
GACGGGGGCCCGCACAAGCGGUGAGCAUGUGGUUAAUUCGACGCAACGCGAAGAACCUUACCAGGGCUUGACAUCCCCUGACCGCGUAUGAAAGUACGUUUUCACCCUCGGGUGACAGGGAGACAGGUGGUGCAUGGUUGUCGUCAGCUCGUGUCGUGAGAUGUUGGGUUAAGUCCCGCAACGAGCGCAACCCCUACGUUUAGUUGCUAACAGGUGAAGCUGAGCACUCUAGACGAACUGCCGUUGACAAAACGGAGGAAGGUGGGAUGACGUCAAAUCAUCAUGCCCCUUAUGUUCUGGGCUACACACGUGCUACAAUGGCCGGUACAGACGGAGGCGAAGCCGCGAGGCGGAGCAAAUCCGAAAAAGCCGGUCUCAGUUCGGAUUGCAGGCUGCAAUUCGCCUGCAUGAAGUCGGAAUCGCUAGUAAUCGCAGGUCAGCAUACUGCGGUGAAUACGUUCCCGGGCCUU